RNAcentral lists this ribosomal RNA (1219 nucleotides) under metagenome. Its description in RNAcentral is "bacterial SSU rRNA". It matches the Rfam family "Bacterial small subunit ribosomal RNA", at positions 291 to 1498 of the family's 1533-position model. The record is from RNAcentral.
UCUGAGAGAAUGAUCAGCAACACUGGGGCUGAGACACUGCCCAGACUCCUACGGGAGGCUGCAGUCGAGAAUCAUUGUCAAUGCACGAAAGUGUGAACAUGCGACGCCGCGUGGAGGAAGACGGCCUUUGGGUUGUAAACUCCUGUCAGCAGGGAGUAAGGGUGGUAUAUUUAAUACGUAUGCCAUUUGAUAGUACCUGCAGAGGAAGUCACGGCUAACUCUGUGCCAGCAGCCGCGGUAAUACAGAGGUGGCGAACGUUGUUCGGAUUUACUGGGCGUAAAGGGUCCGCAGGCGGUCCGGUGUGUCAGAUGUGAAAGCCCACAGCUUAACUGUGGAAUUGCAUUUGAAACUGCCGGACUAGAGUACUGGAGGGGAGAAGGGAACACUUGGUGUAGCGGUGAAAUGCGUAGAUAUCAAGUGGAACACCGGUGGCGAAGGCGCUUCUCUGGACAGAUACUGACGCUCAUGGACGAAAGUUAGGGUAGCGAAAGGGAUUAGAUACCCCUGUAGUCCUAACCGUAAACGGUGUGCGCUAGGCGUGGGUGGCUUUACCCCCAUCCGUGCCUGAGCUAACGCAUUAAGCGCACCGCCUGGGGAGUACGGUCGCAAGAUUAAAACUCAAAGGAAUUGACGGGGACCCGCACAAGCGGUGGAGCAUGUGGCUUAAUUCGAUGCAACGCGAAGAACCUUACCUGGGCUUGACAUAUAGCUGCAUCCGACCCGAAAGGGACGGAGCCUUCGAGGGUGCUAUACAGGUGCUGCAUGGCUGUCGUCAGCUCGUGCCGUGAGGUGUUGGGUUAAGUCCCGCAACGAGCGCAACCCCUGUGUUUAGUUGCCAGCACGUAAUGGUGGGAACUCUAAACAGACUGCCUGUGAAAACAGGAGGAAGGUGGGGAUGACGUCAAGUCAGUAUGGUCCUUAUGUCCAGGGCUGCACACGUGCUACAAUGGGAUGUACAAUGGGAAGCUAAGCCGCGAGGUGGAGCAAAUCCUCAAAACAUCCCCCAGUUCGGAUUGUAGUCUGAAACUCGACUACAUGAAGUUGGAAUCGCUAGUAAAGGUAUAUCAGCUACGAUACCUUGAAUACGUUCCCGGGUCUUGUACACACCGCCCGUCACAUCAUGGAAGUGAGUUGCACCCGAAGUUGUUGAUCCAACCCGUCAAGGGAGGAAGGCACCUAAGGUGUGAUUCAUAACUGGGAUGAAGUCGUAACAAGGUA